GACGAACGCUGGCGGCGUGCUUAACACAUGCAAGUCGAACGGACAGGCCCUGCUUUUGUGGGGUGCUCGAGUGGCGAACGGGUGAGUAACACGUGAGUAACCUGCCCUUGACUUUGGGAUAACUUUAGGAAACUGGGGCUAAUACCGGAUAGGAGCUCCUGCUGCAUGUUGGGGGUUGGAAAGUUUCGGCGGUUGGGGAUGGACUCGCGGCUUAUCAGCUUGUUGGUGGGGUAGUGGCUUACCAAGGCUUUGACGGGUAGCCGGCCUGAGAGGGUGACCGGCCACAUUGGGACUGAGAUACGGCCCAGACGCCUACGGGAGGCAGCAGUGGGGAAUAUUGCACAAUGGGCGGAAGCCUGAUGCAGCAACGCCGCGUGCGGGAUGACGGCCUUCGGGUUGUAAACCGCUUUCGCCUGUGACGAAGCGUGAGUGACGGUAAUGGGUAAAGAAGCACCGGCUAACUACGUG
This 468-nucleotide ribosomal RNA is filed under the name uncultured bacterium. RNAcentral describes it as "partial 16S ribosomal RNA". It matches the Rfam family "Bacterial small subunit ribosomal RNA", at positions 28 to 507 of the family's 1533-position model. The record is from RNAcentral.